UUUAGAAAAAUACUUAUACAUUAUGAUAUUUACACCAGAAGUGGUGUGAAUCAUAGCCAGUUGCAUUCUGUAAACACCUUGGUUACAAAAAUGAUCAAUGGAGUUCUUUAAUAGAAUGCAAGUCUGCCAUUGUUUAGAAAACACCUGAAUCGUUUUCAGGAUUUGAAGUAUGUCAGCAUUGUCUGAACACAGUGGUCAAAUGCUAUCAAGUGAAUGAGAAAUCAUCACUCAGUUCAACAUUUAUUGAACACCACAAUGCUAGAAUCUAGGAAUUCAACUGUGAAUAAGGAAGUUAUGGUGUACUCUCUGUAAACUUCUCAUAAAUAAUGUCUAAAAUACAACAACAUUCCUAUUGAUGUAUAUUGCUUGCUUCCAAAGACUAUGACGCCUGUAUCCUCACACGUACAUCACCUUUAUUUUUCCUAUUCAGGUAGGCUUGGUGAUGAAGAUGGAGUAACGAAACUGACAGGUAAAUGAUAUUGCACCAGAUUAUAACUGAUAUCAGGAUGAUUUCUGCUUUUCAGGAGUGGCCACAGGUACCAAAGGAUGGCACAUCAUACCAGGAAUUUGUUGAUCUAGUGCAGUGGAACUGCAAGGCAGAGUUCAGCGGUAUCGGGAUCAAAGGAUUAGGAAGCCGCAGCUUUAAGGGAGGCAAGCAGCAUGAGAAGACUUUGUGGAGGCAGCUCUGAGCAUUUUAUAAGAAUAAAUUGAGGCCCUGCAAGGAUUAAGGAAUCUGUACAAAGUCACACGCAGGCUGAACUAUGAAAAGCAACUAGAGGACAUUCUCCCCCUUGAAGAUAAUCACUUUUAUUGUUGCCGGGUCAAAGAUUCAGAUUCCACGCAGCAACCUCUGACUAAAGAACAGCAAGUCCUUUCAGGUCAGAAAGUCCAAUAUGCAGCCCCCUCAGAAGCAUAGCAUAAUAGUCCUAAAAUAACAAGCAUACAUGUAGCUUUCUUAAUUUGCCCUGCUGGGUUCCUGUAAUAAGUACUUAACAACUGUAGGCUCUGAGCAGCUCAGCAGACAUCAACAAGACCAUUUGCCAGAUGAUUUAGCAAACAAAUUUCCGAGCAUCUCAUGCUUAUGUUGAGUGCGUGACAUUAGCAAACAUGCAGGGACUUAGAGAUAAUAAUAGUAGAUAGGAAUUUUACAAAUUAAAAAGAGAGAGAAAGAAAGAACGGGAAUUUUGAAGUCUAGAGAAUUUAGGCUGAUAUGCCAAAUUCUCUGGCUAGAAUGAAGUCCCCCAGAUGAAUACUCAGUAACUUCUGCUAAUUUUUUACUCCUUGAGCAAAUAAUCUGAAAUUGAGUUAUUGGGAAGGGACAAAAACUCUGGAAUGACUUCCAGGGGAGGAAGAAAAGAAUAGAAACCACCUUAUUUUUUAGCACAAGUAACUGACAUGAAGCAAGCACAAAACACGAAAGGUUCUCAGUAAAUAUUUAUUGAAUGAAUGACUCCAUGUCUAUGACACGCAUGAGGAAUUGACAUCUCCAUAAAGAAAGCUAGCAGAUUCUCAACAAAUCAUAGGGGUUAGGUAAGCGGGUAGGGCGAAGGCAUUCAUCAAGGAAUCCCUCUCCAGUGUCAGGAAUCCAAGGCUCAGAGAGGGAGACAUUCUCGUGAAUCCAUCAGCAGCCCCCUGGCCCAUAACAGACUCCUUGAGAUGCUUCUAAGUGAGAGGGAAUCCAGGUGGCAAUGGCACUUACCAUUUUAAGAGCUGGAGCAAUCCUGAGGCUCUGUGGGGAAAGCAAUCAUCCCCAAAACAGGAAAACAAAUCUGACAAUAGAGCAGGGCUGGUCCUCAAUAGCCUGGGCAUGAGGAGCCAGGAAACCUGCUCUGAGGAGGGAGGUAAUUAUCCCAUCACUUCAGGUCACAGGGAAAUUCUAUUCUGUUUUCCGAGGCAACAUUUUUAACACUUACACAGACAUUUUAAAUGUGAACAACUCAAGCAAUCAUCCUAUUAUAUCUGUUAGUUUAGCUGAUUUCUUUCUUUUUUUUUUUUAA
This 1997-nucleotide long non-coding RNA is filed under the name Homo sapiens (human). RNAcentral describes it as "HSALNT0323928". Lineage: Eukaryota; Metazoa; Chordata; Mammalia; Primates; Hominidae. The record is from RNAcentral.